GUGCUCGCUUUGGCAGCACAUAUACUAAAAUUGGAACAAUGCAGAGAAGAUUAGCAUGUCCCCUGCACAAGGAUGACACACAAAUUCGUGAAGUGUUUCAUAUUUUU
This 107-nucleotide small nuclear RNA is filed under the name Marmota marmota marmota (Alpine marmot). The record is from RNAcentral. RNAcentral also lists the same sequence under 1 other name. Lineage: Eukaryota; Metazoa; Chordata; Mammalia; Rodentia; Sciuridae.